UACGUAGGGUGCAAGCGUUGUCCGGAAUUAUUGGGCGUAAAGAGCUCGUAGGCGGUCUGUUGCGUCCGCUGUGAAAACUCGGGGCUUAACCCCGAGCCUGCAGUGGAUACGGGCAGACUAGAGGUAGGUAGGGGAGAAUGGAAUUCCCGGUGUAGCGGUGAAAUGCGCAGAUAUCGGGAGGAACACCGGUGGCGAAGGCGGUUCUCUGGGCCUUAACUGACGCUGAGGAGCGAAAGCGUGGGGAGCGAACAGG
RNAcentral lists this ribosomal RNA (253 nucleotides) under uncultured bacterium. Its description in RNAcentral is "partial 16S ribosomal RNA". It matches the Rfam family "Bacterial small subunit ribosomal RNA", at positions 524 to 776 of the family's 1533-position model. The record is from RNAcentral.